Molecule: ribosomal RNA, 443 nt
Filed under: uncultured bacterium
Lineage: Bacteria
Description: partial 16S ribosomal RNA
Rfam family: Bacterial small subunit ribosomal RNA
Source: RNAcentral
CCUACGGGCGGCAGCAGUGGGGAAUAUUGGGCAAUGGGCGCAAGCCUGACCCAGCAACGCCGCGUGAAGGAAGAAGGCUUUCGGGUUGUAAACUUCUUUUCUCAGGGACGAAGCAAGUGACGGUACCUGAGGAAUAAGCCACGGCUAACUACGUGCCAGCAGCCGCGGUAAUACGUAGGUGGCAAGCGUUAUCCGGAUUUACUGGGUGUACAGGGCGUGUAGGCGGGAAAGCAAGUCAGAUGUGAAAACCAUGGGCUCAACCUGUGGCCUGCCUUUGAAACUGUUUUUCUUGAGUACAGGAGAGGCAGACGGAAUGCCUAGUGUAGCGGUGAAAUGCGUAGAUAUUAGGAGGAACACCAGUGGCGAAGGCGGUCUGCUGGACAGCAACUGACGCUGAGGCGCGAAAGCGUGGGGAGCAAACAGGAUUAGAUACCCCAGUAGUC